This 426-nucleotide ribosomal RNA is filed under the name uncultured bacterium. RNAcentral describes it as "bacterial SSU rRNA". It matches the Rfam family "Bacterial small subunit ribosomal RNA", at positions 28 to 435 of the family's 1533-position model. The record is from RNAcentral.
GACGAACGCUGGCGGCGUGCCUAACACAUGCAAGUCGAACGGAGCUGCUUCGAUUGAUUCCUUCGGGAUGAUUUUGAUUCAGCUUAGUGGCGGACGGGUGAGUAACGCGUGAGCAACCUGCCUUUCAGAGGGGGACAACAGUUAGAAAUGACUGCUAAUACCGCAUAAUAUCCUUUUGGGGCAUCCCUUUUGGAUCAAAGAUUUAUUGCUGAAAGAUGGGCUCGCGUCUGAUUAGCUAGUUGGUGGGGUAACGGCCCACCAAGGCGACGAUCAGUAGCCGGACUGAGAGGUUGAACGGCCACAUUGGGACUGAGAUACGGCCCAGACUCCUACGGGAGGCAGCAGUGGGGAAUAUUGGGCAAUGGGGGAAACCCUGACCCAGCAACGCCGCGUGAGGGAAGAAGGUCUUCGGAUUGUAAACCUCUU